Molecule: ribosomal RNA, 430 nt
Filed under: uncultured prokaryote
Also listed under: 1 other name
Description: bacterial SSU rRNA
Rfam family: Bacterial small subunit ribosomal RNA
Source: RNAcentral
UGGGGAAUAUUGCGCAAUGGGGGAAACCCUGACGCAGCGACGCCGCGUGAGCGAUGAAGGCUUUCGGGUCGUAAAGCUCUGUUCUAAGGGACGAACGCAACAGCUGUUAAUACCAGCUGUAAAUGACGGUACCUUAGGAGAAAGCCCCGGCUAACUACGUGCCAGCAGCCGCGGUAAUACGUAGGGGGCGAGCGUUGUCCGGAAUUACUGGGCGUAAAGAGCGUGUAGGCGGGCAUUUAAGUCAGAUGUGAAAGACCGGGGCUCAACUCCGGGAUUGCAUUUGAAACUGGAUAUCUUGAGGGCAGGAGAGGAAAGCGGAAUUCCUGGUGUAGCGGUGAAAUGCGUAGAUAUCAGGAGGAACACCGGUGGCGAAGGCGGCUUUCUGGACUGACCCUGACGCUGAGACGCGAAAGCGUGGGGAGCAAACAGG